RNAcentral lists this ribosomal RNA (427 nucleotides) under uncultured bacterium. Its description in RNAcentral is "bacterial SSU rRNA". It matches the Rfam family "Bacterial small subunit ribosomal RNA", at positions 355 to 774 of the family's 1533-position model. The record is from RNAcentral.
UGGGGAAUUUUGGACAAUGGGCGCAAGCCUGAUCCAGCCAUGCCGCGUGCAGGAUGAAGGCCUUCGGGUUGUAAACUGCUUUUGUACGGAACGAAAAGGUGCCUUCUAAUAAAGGGCGCUCAUGACGGUACCGUAAGAAUAAGCACCGGCUAACUACGUGCCAGCAGCCGCGGUAAUACGUAGGGUGCGAGCGUUAAUCGGAAUUACUGGGCGUAAAGCGUGCGCAGGCGGUUUUGUAAGACAGAGGUGAAAUCCCCGGGCUCAACCUGGGAACUGCCUUUGUGACUGCAAAGCUGGAGUGCGGCAGAGGGGGAUGGAAUUCCGCGUGUAGCAGUGAAAUGCGUAGAUAUGCGGAGGAACACCGAUGGCGAAGGCAAUCCCCUGGGCCUGCACUGACGCUCAUGCACGAAAGCGUGGGGAGCAAACA